Molecule: ribosomal RNA, 254 nt
Filed under: uncultured bacterium
Lineage: Bacteria
Description: partial 16S ribosomal RNA
Rfam family: Bacterial small subunit ribosomal RNA
Source: RNAcentral
UACGAAGGUGGCAAGCGUUGUUCGGAAUUACUGGGCGUAAAGGGCGCGUAGGCGGCCUUCUAAGUCAGACGUGAAAUCCCCCGGCUUAACCUGGGAACUGCGUCUGAUACUGGGAGGCUUGAGUAUGGGAGAGGGAUGUAGAAUUCCCGGUGUAGUGGUGAAAUGCGUAGAUAUCAGGAGGAACACCGAUGGCGAAGGCAGGUCUCUGGGCAUUAACUGACGCUGAGGAGCGAAAGCAUGGGGGAGCGAACAGG